CGGUCCCUACGGGGCGCAGCAGUGGGGAAUAUUGGGCAAUGGGCGCAAGCCUGACCCAGCAACGCCGCGUGAAGGAAGAAGGCUUUCGGGUUGUAAACUUCUUUUAUGAGGGACGAAAGAAAUGACGGUACCUCAUGAAUAAGCCACGGCUAACUACGUGCCAGCAGCCGCGGUAAUACGUAGGUGGCAAGCGUUAUCCGGAUUUACUGGGUGUAAAGGGCGUGUAGGCGGGACUGGAAGUCAGAUGUGAAAAUUAUGGG
RNAcentral lists this ribosomal RNA (260 nucleotides) under uncultured bacterium. RNAcentral describes it as "partial 16S ribosomal RNA". It matches the Rfam family "Bacterial small subunit ribosomal RNA", at positions 333 to 607 of the family's 1533-position model. The record is from RNAcentral.